GGGAAAGAUUAUUUCGUUACGUGUACGCUUCAAAUUCAAAUAACAUUUAAUUAAAAUGAAGUUUUUGAGGUAGGUGCUAUUUUAUUUAAGAUUCCGUUGUAUUUAUCUGACAUUUAUGGUUUUUAGAAAGUCAAGAUGGCGGCGUACUCCUUAGUUACGACUUGCCAUUGUGCUUUUGAUGGUAAUAUAUAUAGUAGCCAUCAUAAAAAAAAUGUUUAUUAAAUAUCACAAAUGUUUGGCUGAAGAAUUAUAAGGAUUAAACACAUUUUUUUCUAGAGGUUAUUGAUGUG
This 290-nucleotide long non-coding RNA is filed under the name Mytilus galloprovincialis (Mediterranean mussel). The record is from RNAcentral. Lineage: Eukaryota; Metazoa; Mollusca; Bivalvia; Mytilida; Mytilidae.